GGAUGGUUGUCAGAGCGGUCUAUUGUGCCCGGUUGCUAACCAGGUGGGCGUACAGCCCCGGAGGUUCGAAUCCUUCACCAUCCGCCA
Molecule: transfer RNA, 87 nt
Filed under: Deinococcus roseus
Lineage: Bacteria; Thermotogati; Deinococcota; Deinococci; Deinococcales; Deinococcaceae
Description: tRNA-Ser
Rfam family: tRNA
About the family: Transfer RNA (tRNA) molecules are approximately 80 nucleotides in length. Their secondary structure includes four short double-helical elements and three loops (D, anti-codon, and T loops).
Source: RNAcentral